UACGGGGGGAGCAAGCGUUGUUCGGAAUUACUGGGCGUAAAGGGCUCGUAGGCGGCCAACUAAGUCAGGGGUGAAAUCCUGGAGCUCAACUCCAGAACUGCCUUUGAUACUGAAGAUCUUGAGUUCGGGAGAGGUGAGUGGAACUGCGAGUGUAGAGGUGAAAUUCGUAGAUAUUCGCAAGAACACCAGUGGCGAAGGCGGCUCACUGGCCCGAUACUGACGCUGAGGCACGAAAGCGUGGGGAGCAAACAGG
RNAcentral lists this ribosomal RNA (253 nucleotides) under uncultured bacterium. Its description in RNAcentral is "partial 16S ribosomal RNA". It matches the Rfam family "Bacterial small subunit ribosomal RNA", at positions 524 to 776 of the family's 1533-position model. The record is from RNAcentral.